This 394-nucleotide ribosomal RNA is filed under the name uncultured Megamonas sp. RNAcentral's name for it is "bacterial SSU rRNA". It matches the Rfam family "Bacterial small subunit ribosomal RNA", at positions 990 to 1382 of the family's 1533-position model. The record is from RNAcentral. Lineage: Bacteria; Bacillati; Bacillota; Negativicutes; Selenomonadales; Selenomonadaceae.
AGAGAACUUUCCAGAGAUGGAUUGGUGGCCUUCGGGAACUCUGACACAGGUGCUGCAUGGCUGUCGUCAGCUCGUGUCGUGAGAUGUUGGGUUAAGUCCCGUAACGAGCGCAACCCUUGUCCUUAGUUACCAGCACGUUAUGGUGGGCACUCUAAGGAGACUGCCGGUAAUAAACCGGAGGAAGGUGGGGAUGACGUCAAAUCAUCAUGCCCCUUAUGACCUGGGCUACACACGUGCUACAAUGGUUGGUACAACGAGUUGCGAGUCGGUGACGGCGAGCUAAUCUCUUAAAGCCAAUCUCAGUUCGGAUUGUAGGCUGCAACUCGCCUACAUGAAGUCGGAAUCGCUAGUAAUCGCGGAUCAGCACGCCGCGGUGAAUACGUUCCCGGGCCUU